Manduca sexta (tobacco hornworm) is the source of this 2219-nucleotide RNA transcript. RefSeq lists it as uncharacterized. The record is from RefSeq and is a predicted model, not a curated record. Lineage: Eukaryota; Metazoa; Arthropoda; Insecta; Lepidoptera; Sphingidae. The transcript is spliced from 7 exons.
CACUAGUUGUUUGUUUUGAGCUGGCGAUACAUUUUUUAAAGUUUUUGUGUUUAUUACAUGUCUAGUUUAUUGGUCUCUGAUUACAUGUUUUUGAAUUAUUUAAAAUAUUUAAAUAUAAAGAAGAUGAGUGAAAUGAUACCUUAUAAUAGUUUCAAGUGUGUGAAAGUUUGAUAGCCGAGAAGAAAGUAAAUUUGUUAGGUUAUAAUGAAAAACAACAACAUUCAACAAGCUGGCGAGAGGCGCGAAAUGUACUCCUGAGUUGAAGAACCUUAUAAGAUGGUGGGUGACAUUUGGAAUACUGUGUGGUGCUACAUUUGUGACUAGAUUUUACAAAGUUUUGGAACCGGACCAUGUUUGAUGCUGAUAGCUUUGUCUGGAGAGUUAACAGGCUAUGAUGGGUCAUUCCCAUUUGAGAAACCGGGUGAUAAAUAUGGAGGUGACAAGUACCAGGGAAUGAGAUUUGAUGGGAUUGGAGAAGCGAACAACGUGUGGAAGAUCGUGAUAUCGGGCGGCAGGGACGGCUACGAGGUGCAGACUGUUAAGAGCAAACUCAUACUGGUGCACUAUUUACAGUGCCAAAAGUAAGUUUUGAGGCGUACGCGUCGGGUUUUGUAGAACGAUUCUUCGAAUCCCACGCGGUAAUGUUUCAAGGCAACACUGGACUCAAACCCAAGGAGGGGGAGGUCACCUCGCAGCCUUGGCAAUGGCCUAUCAACUAUAGGCGUCAAUUCUUUUCGGACAGUGGACAUCGUAUAUACUUACUGGACAAUCCCAUUGUGUGGUGGAGUAACCUUGUAUUUCUGGGUAUAUUUUUCGUGGUAUAUGUCAUUAACAGCAUCAGAGAGAAGCGAGCUGAAGCCUUUGGCAGACCUUUAUCAAGCAUCCUCACAGAAUACCUUCUGAGCAGUAUCAGGAGUUACCUCAGCGCGGAGAUCGGCAAGACAGCUUACCACUGCAUCUUAGGACUGAUAAUGUCUACGACGGUGUACAGUUUCUAUUUAUUUUCCCCGUUGGCGUACGGCAUGAACGGGCCGCUAGCCAACGAGCCGAACUCCACCAUGGCUGGGUUGAAAUGGCUCGACUCUUGGGAGUUUUGAGCAUGGGCGCCGCCAAAAUUACUUUUAGGGAGGUGCUUCUGCAUAAGGAGGGUACCACAUUAGUAUUUUUUUUUCAAAUAAAUAUCGCGCCGGUAUUUGCAUAUGCUAAACCAUUCCCAUUGUCAUUCAGUUAUGUUUAUUGGGACUUGCUCCAGACAGGUGCACCUCCUUGCACCCACUCCUCGCGCCGCCCAUGGUUUUGAGUCUCGUUGACUAAAAAUAUGUUUCUAUAUUUCUUUAUAAGUUAAAGGGCGAUUUUAAUCUCUGUCACUGUGAUGCUAAUAUCAAAAUUUUAUUGUGUCCGAUUGAUUGUACUUCGAGUCUUUAUUAUGGUACUGGAAUAAAUAUUAUAAGAAUUUUAUGAAUACUAUGAUGCUAGUUUAUGAUAUCAUCAAUUGACGAUAUUGUUUAUGAUAUAGAAAAUAUUUUACAUUGCUUUAUAAUUAUAUUUUUUACGCUGUUUUUCCUGCUUUUCUUUUAUAUUGCAAAUACUCAUUUACAACUUCUAGCUAAUAAUUCAUUCAAGAUUAUAUUCAUUCAUAAAUUAUAUGAAUUUCUAGGUAAUUUAUACUUAGUUUUAUCAAUUUGCUGAUAAUGCGUAAUCGAUUACAGACAAAAUCUAUAUGAUAAGUUUGGAUUAAAUAAAAAUGUGUACAAAACAAAAUUAUCAAUGAAAAGAUAAAAUAUACUCAAUGAAUUCCGUCCUUAAUUAUUAUAUUUAUCUAAAUUGUAAGGGAAAUAAAAUAUUUAUAAUUUGGUGUAGGUGUAGAAUAAAAUGUAGUAUUAUAACUAAUUUAACGUCAACAAUGCCGUCCAAUUGUAAUUUAUUUUGAUUUUAAUUUAUAUUAUAAACGGCACGACUCAUGCGCACAAAUGAACAAUGGUAGAGCGAGAUAGCGUAUGUACAAAUUGAAUGAAAAUGUUUAUUAAUAGUUGCAUGACUAGCCAAUAGACAGCUUCGGUCGAGAAGCCAGUCGCGCGAAACAUUACCGCGUCGGGCGCUGAACCAACCAAUCACAACUGUGCUUUCUACUCGUGCCUCUAUAGAACACAAACUUUUGUGUCAUAGUUAUGCUCACAUAUUUUUGUAUAUUGAAGAUUUUAAUAAAAGUUUUGUAAUAA